Long non-coding RNA from Hippocampus zosterae (dwarf seahorse), 977 nucleotides. RefSeq lists it as uncharacterized. Lineage: Eukaryota; Metazoa; Chordata; Actinopteri; Syngnathiformes; Syngnathidae. The record is from RefSeq and is a predicted model, not a curated record. The transcript has 2 exons.
GGAAGGCGUUGAGAAGAGUGAGCGUACGAGUCAGCAUCAUCGAGAAAACCCCAGAAAGUGACAAAUACUUCAGAAUUAAAGCAGAUGGACAAUCCCACUGAAGAUGGUGAUUAUUCUGACUCAAGUCUUUUUGGAUCAGAUGAGGAAUACAAACCAACUAAGACAUCCUCUGAGUCGAGUGAUGACGAGGAGAUAUUCCAUCCAAAGGUAGAAAAAUUGUUCUUAUGAUACAUCCAGUGAAGACUCUACAAGUCAUCAGACAUAUGAAGCAGAGGAGCACAGUCAUGUCUGCAAUUCGUAAAGAAGGUAACCCAUUAACCUAUGUAAAAACAAAAGAUGAGCAAAGAAGAUCCUUCUUUAACCAUAAAAGCAUUUACAAAAAGGGAAGGCAAACGAGUUUGGCACAGAAGUCAUUAUUGCUUCUACUGUGGCCAAUCAAAUUUAAAGAUGGCAAGGCAAUUGGAAAGGAAACAUAAGGCAUCACAAAAUAAAUUCUGUGGGAGGGUUUGUGAACACAUAAAGGAACAAACUACACAAUCAACUCUGAGACGGUGCAGUCUCCUACAAAAGGAAAGAUGACAGAAGUACAAACGAGCACGAAAGCAACACAUUCUACCCGUAUGUAAUCAACUCUUUUCACGCGUAGCAAGUCUACUCCUGUAGCGUUCACACGUCCCAUUUUAUAUCGGUGCUGCCCCGCAUACUAGCAUUUACUCCAGAGUAAAUGUUUAAACCACCUCCUGAGCAGGGUUACAUUUGCUCCGUUUUAAGCUGUUUUCAGGGGCUACACUGGUGUAACUUUGUACGUGGCAACGCUCGACAUGGGGGCAGUCGGCUUUUGGGGUGGGGGGGGGGCAGAACGGAUGAAUGGACAUGUCAAGAGUUUUAAUUUCUCCAUAAUUUGUUCCGGUCAGUUGUCACGCAGUAUGAGGAACAUAUAUAAAUUAUAUUUAAUCCUUGUGUAUUUUUAGCCGUUA